GUGGGGAAUCUUAGACAAUGGGGGCAACCCUGAUCUAGCCAUGCCGCGUGAGUGAUGAAGGCCUUAGGGUCGUAAAGCUCUUUCGCCGGGGAAGAUAAUGACUGUACCCGGUAAAGAAACCCCGGCUAACUCCGUGCCAGCAGCCGCGGUAAUACGGAGGGGGUUAGCGUUGUUCGGAAUUACUGGGCGUAAAGCGCGCGUAGGCGGAUCGGAAAGUUGGGGGUGAAAUCCCGGGGCUCAACCCCGGAAUUGCCUUCAAAACUCCCGGUCUUGAGGUCGAGAGAGGUGAGUGGAAUUCCGAGUGUAGAGGUGAAAUUCGUAGAUAUUCGGAGGAACACCAGUGGCGAAGGCGGCUCACUGGCUCGAUACUGACGCUGAGGUGCGAAAGCGUGGGGAGCAAACAGGAUUAGAAACCCGGGUAGUCC
RNAcentral lists this ribosomal RNA (425 nucleotides) under uncultured bacterium. RNAcentral describes it as "partial 16S ribosomal RNA". It matches the Rfam family "Bacterial small subunit ribosomal RNA", at positions 354 to 796 of the family's 1533-position model. The record is from RNAcentral.